RNAcentral lists this ribosomal RNA (503 nucleotides) under Trophotylenchulus arenarius. RNAcentral describes it as "eukaryotic LSU rRNA". It matches the Rfam family "Eukaryotic large subunit ribosomal RNA", at positions 386 to 813 of the family's 3401-position model. Lineage: Eukaryota; Metazoa; Nematoda; Chromadorea; Rhabditida; Tylenchulidae. The record is from RNAcentral.
CGGAUAGAGCUAGUAAAAGGGCUCGCAUUCAGCUGAUAAUGGGUGUUCCAGCCCGGAAUCGGUGCAUUUGUGGGCAAUUGCGCUGAGACUGGCGAGACAGCGACUGGCCCCGGUGCUAGAGGCUUUCGUCUUGAUUGAACCUGGCGCCGGCUACGGUUGUUUGCCUUGCCUGUCCUGUGGCUUGGUCUCGAGCAAAGCCGUCUUCGUUGUUCUGCUGUCAAGUCAAUCGCUUGCGUUGGCUGAUGGCGGGGCKGCGUUCGGCGGUGGCGUUCACAAGCACACUCUCGGUGUAGAAGCUGGUCAUCUAUCCGACCCGUCUUGAAACACGGACCAAGGAGUUUAGCGUAUGCGCGAGUCAUUGGGCGUUGAAAACCCAAAGGCGCAAUGAAGGUAAAGGUUCAGUCACUGGACUGACAUACGAACGCCGGGCUUCGGCUACGGUGUGCAGUAUGGUCCCGUUCUGGUCACUUGUGGCGGAGCGGAGACAGAGCGUAUGCGCUGAG